AAAGUCCGUAACAAAGGUUUCCGUAGGUGGAACCUGCGGAAGGACAUUAUCAUUAGGGGGUCUUCAUGGCCUGACUCCCAAACCCUGUGUUUUAUUAUAACCACGUUUCUUCGGCGGGGUUCCGCUUUUAUCGGACCGCGGGGGGUCGCGAACUUCCUGGCCCGCGCCCGCCGAUGGCCCCCAAUAAAAACUCUGUAUAAACCAUGUUUGUCUGAGUUCUUAAAAUUAAAAUUAAAAACAAAAA
This 244-nucleotide unclassified non-coding RNA is filed under the name plant metagenome. RNAcentral describes it as "partial contains small subunit ribosomal RNA and internal transcribed spacer 1". The record is from RNAcentral.